GACGAACGCUGGCGGCGUGCUUAACACAUGCAAGUCGAACGGAAAGGCCCCUUUGGGGGUACUCGAGUGGCGAACGGGUGAGUAACACGUGAGUAACCUGCCCUUGACUUCGGGAUAACUUCAGGAAACUGGGGCUAAUACCGGAUAGGAAUCCUUGCUGCAUGGUGGGGGUUGGAAAGCUUCGGCGGUUUUGGAUGGACUCGCGGCUUAUCAGCUUGUUGGUGGGGUAGUGGCUUACCGAGGCUUUGACGGGUAGCCGGCCUGAGAGGGCGACCGGCCACAUUGGGACUGAGAUACGGCCCAGACUCCUACGGGAGGCAGCAGUGGGGAAUAUUGCACAAUGGGCGGAAGCCUGAUGCAGCAACGCCGCGUGCGGGAUGACGGCCUUCGGGUUGUAAACCGCUUUCAGCAGGGGCGAAGCUUGUGGUGACGGUACCUGCAGAAGAAGCACCGGCUAACUACGUG
RNAcentral lists this ribosomal RNA (465 nucleotides) under uncultured bacterium. RNAcentral's name for it is "partial 16S ribosomal RNA". It matches the Rfam family "Bacterial small subunit ribosomal RNA", at positions 28 to 507 of the family's 1533-position model. The record is from RNAcentral.